RNAcentral lists this ribosomal RNA (205 nucleotides) under Kikihia cutora. RNAcentral describes it as "partial 16S ribosomal RNA". The stretch from base 54 to 205 matches the Rfam family "Bacterial large subunit ribosomal RNA", at positions 2473 to 2623 of the family's 2925-position model. The record is from RNAcentral. Lineage: Eukaryota; Metazoa; Arthropoda; Insecta; Hemiptera; Cicadidae.
AUUUAUGUAAAUGUUGAUCCAAAUUUUUGAUUAUAAGAAUAAAUUACCUUAGGGAUAACAGCGUAAUUAAUUUGAAGAGUUCAUAUCGAUAAAUAUGAUUGCGACCUCGAUGUUGGAUUAAGAAUAGGGAUUGGAGCAAAAUUUAUUAUUUCUGGGUCUGUUCGACCCUUAAUAUUCUUACAUGAUCUGAGUUCAGACCGGCGUG